This 253-nucleotide ribosomal RNA is filed under the name uncultured bacterium. RNAcentral's name for it is "partial 16S ribosomal RNA". It matches the Rfam family "Bacterial small subunit ribosomal RNA", at positions 524 to 776 of the family's 1533-position model. The record is from RNAcentral.
UACGAAGGGAGCUAGCGUUGUUCGGAAUCACUGGGCGUAAAGCGCACGUAGGCGGAUUUGUCAGUCAGGGGUGAAAUCCCGGGGCUCAACCUCGGAACUGCCUUUGAUACUGAGGAUCUUGAGUUCGGGAGAGGUGAGUGGAACUGCGAGUGUAGAGGUGAAAUUCGUAGAUAUUCGCAAGAACACCAGUGGCGAAGGCGGCUCACUGGCCCGAUACUGACGCUGAGGCACGAGAGCGUGGGGAGCAAACAGG